AACCCGACCUCCACGAAGUUGGAUUCGCUAGUAAUCGCGCAUCAGCCAUGGCGCGGUGAAUACGUUCCCGGGUCUUGUACACACCGCCCGUCACACCAUGGGAGUUGGAAGCGCCCGAAGUCUGUGACCUAACCGUGAGGGAGGAGCAGCCGAAGGUGAAGCCAGUGACUGGGGUGAAGUCGUAACAAGGUACC
Molecule: ribosomal RNA, 194 nt
Filed under: uncultured bacterium
Lineage: Bacteria
Description: partial 16S ribosomal RNA
Rfam family: Bacterial small subunit ribosomal RNA
Source: RNAcentral